AAUACAACUUCAAAAGAUUAUGCAGAAUGUAACAAAACUACAGCACUUGGAAAACUGAUCAUCCUCCUGGCUGUUCUGUAUAAUUGCUGGUGAAGUCAUGAGACUGAACAUAUGGAAAAUCUAUCAAGAUUUUAUUUGACUACAUUGAAUAUCUGCUUUGCUUAUUUAU
Protobothrops mucrosquamatus (brown spotted pit viper) is the source of this 169-nucleotide long non-coding RNA. RefSeq lists it as uncharacterized. NCBI's taxonomy places the organism in Eukaryota, Metazoa, Chordata, Lepidosauria, Squamata, Viperidae. The transcript is spliced from 3 exons. The record is from RefSeq and is a predicted model, not a curated record.